AGAGUUUGAUCCUGGCUCAGGAUGAACGCUAGCUACAGGCUUAACACAUGCAAGUCGAGGGGCAGCAUGACGAUAGCUUGCUAUUGUCGAUGGCGACCGGCGCACGGGUGAGUAACGCGUAUCCAACCUUCCCCAUAGUAGGGCAUAGCCCGUAGAAAUGCGGAUUAAUACCCUAUGUUUUCCGAAGCAGACAUCUAAUUCGGAACAAAGGUUCACCGCUAUGGGAUGGGGAUGCGUCUGAUUAGGUUGUUGGCGGGGUAACGGCCCACCAAGCCUUCGAUCAGUAGGGGUUCUGAGAGGAAGGUCCCCCACAUUGGAACUGAGACACGGUCCAAACUCCUACGGGAGGCAGCAGUGAGGAAUAUUGGUCAAUGGGCGAGAGCCUGAACCAGCCAAGUAGCGUGCAGGAUGACGGCCCUAUGGGUUGUAAACUGCUUUUAUGCGGGGAUAAAGUUGGCUACGUGUAGCCAUUUGCAGGUACCGCAUGAAUAAGGACCGGCUAAUUCCGUGCCAGCAGCCGCGGUAAUACGGAAGGUCCGGGCGUUAUCCGGAUUUAUUGGGUUUAAAGGGAGCGCAGGCUGAUGAUUAAGCGUGACGUGAAAUGUAGCCGCUCAACGGCUGAACUGCGUCGCGAACUGGUUAUCUUGAGUGAGUUCGAUGUGGGCGGAAUUCGUGGUGUAGCGGUGAAAUGCUUAGAUAUCACGAAGAACUCCGAUUGCGAAGGCAGCCCACAAGGCCUUUACUGACGCUAAAGCUCGAAGGUGCGGGUAUCGAACAGGAUUAGAUACCCUGGUAGUCCGCACGGUAAACGAUGGAUGCCCGCUGUUUGCGAUAUACUGUGAGCGGCCAAGAGAAAUCGUUAAGCAUCCCACCUGGGGAGUACGCCGGCAACGUGAAACUCAAAGGAAUUGACGGGGGCCCGCACAAGCGGAGGAACAUGUGGUUUAAUUCGAUGAUACGCGAGGAACCUUACCCGGGCUUGAACUGCAGGAGAAGGAUACAGAGAUGUUGACCNUCGGGGCUCCUGUGGAGGUGCUGCAUGGUUGUCGUCAGCUCGUGCC
RNAcentral lists this ribosomal RNA (1061 nucleotides) under unidentified rumen bacterium 30-11. RNAcentral's name for it is "bacterial SSU rRNA". It matches the Rfam family "Bacterial small subunit ribosomal RNA", at positions 8 to 1066 of the family's 1533-position model. Lineage: Bacteria; Pseudomonadati; Bacteroidota; Bacteroidia; Bacteroidales; Bacteroidaceae. The record is from RNAcentral.